Molecule: small nucleolar RNA, 95 nt
Filed under: Phaseolus vulgaris (common bean)
Lineage: Eukaryota; Viridiplantae; Streptophyta; Magnoliopsida; Fabales; Fabaceae
Description: snoRNA snoZ157
Rfam family: Small nucleolar RNA Z157/R69/R10
About the family: Z157, R69 and R10 are members of the C/D class of snoRNA which contain the C (UGAUGA) and D (CUGA) box motifs.
Source: Rfam by way of RNAcentral
GUAUAUGCUGUGACGAGACAAUUUCGUGGACUAGAGUUUCUGAUCUGGGUAAUUAUCCAGAACUUGAUUAUCAACCCUUGGCUGUCCGAGCACAC